This 791-nucleotide non-coding RNA is filed under the name unidentified. The record is from RNAcentral.
AAAUAAAUUUUUAUAGUUUAAAAAAUUUAUUAUUAAUAUAUUUUACAUAUGAAUUAUAGUAUUGAUUUUUAAAUAUUUAAAUAAUAUUUAAUUUAAAUUUAUAAUAGUAAGUAAUAUUAAAAAUUUAAGAAAUUAAGAUUUAGUAAUAUAAAAAUUAAUAACAAAUUUUGUGCCAGCAGUUGCGGUUACACAAAAAUUAAAAUAAAUUUUAUUAGUAAGUUAAUUAAUAUAUUUGGGUUAAUAUUUAAUUAUAAAUAUUAGAUUAUUAGGUGAAAUUUUAAUUUAAUUAAAAUAUUAUUUGAAUAUUAUAUGAAUUAAGAAAUUUUAUUAUAAACUAGGAUUAGAUACCCUAUUAUUAAAAAUUUAAAUUAAAAUACUAAAAUAGUAAAUAUAAUUUAUUUAAACUUAAAUAAUUUGGCGGUAUUUUAGUUUAUUUAGAGGAAUCUGUCCAAUAAUUGAUAGUCCACGAAUAAAUUUACUUAAUUUUUUUUAUUUUGUAUAUCGUUGUUAAAAAAAUAUUUUUUAUAAAUAAAUAAUAUUUAAAAAUUUAUAAAAUAAAUUAAAUCAGAUCAAGAUGCAGAUAAUAAUUAAGAAUGAGAUGGAUUACAAUAAAUUUAUUUAAAUGAAUUUUAAUUUGAAAUAAUUAAUUGAAAGUGGAUUUAAAUGUAAUUUUAUUUAUUUUAUUAAAAUGAUUUAAGAUUAAAAUAUGUACAUAUUGCCCGUCGCUUUCAUAAAUAAAUUGGAAUAAGUCGUAACAAAGUAGAGGUACUGGAAAGUGUUUCUAGAAAGAU